UGGGGAAUUUUGGACAAUGGGCGAAAGCCUGAUCCAGCAAUGCCGCGUGUGUGAAGAAGGCCUUCGGGUUGUAAAGCACUUUUGUCCGGAAAGAAAUCCUUGGCUCUAAUACAGUCGGGGGAUGACGGUACCGGAAGAAUAAGCACCGGCUAACUACGUGCCAGCAGCCGCGGUAAUACGUAGGGUGCAAGCGUUAAUCGGAAUUACUGGGCGUAAAGCGUGCGCAGGCGGUUUGCUAAGACCGAUGUGAAAUCCCCGGGCUCAACCUGGGAACUGCAUUGGUGACUGGCAGGCUAGAGUAUGGCAGAGGGGGGUAGAAUUCCACGUGUAGCAGUGAAAUGCGUAGAGAUGUGGAGGAAUACCGAUGGCGAAGGCAGCCCCCUGGGCCAAUACUGACGCUCAUGCACGAAAGCGUGGGGGAGCAAACAGGAUUAGAUACCCUGGUAGUCCACGCCCUAAAACGAUGUCAACUAGUUGUUGGGGAUUCAUUUCCUUAGUAACGUAGCUAACGCGUGAAGUUGACCGCCUGGGGAGUACGGUCGCAAGAUUAAAACUUAAAUGAAUUGACGGGGUCAUAGCUG
Molecule: ribosomal RNA, 581 nt
Filed under: uncultured bacterium
Lineage: Bacteria
Description: partial 16S ribosomal RNA
Rfam family: Bacterial small subunit ribosomal RNA
Source: RNAcentral